RNAcentral lists this ribosomal RNA (847 nucleotides) under Staphylococcus sp. DFR42. RNAcentral describes it as "bacterial SSU rRNA". It matches the Rfam family "Bacterial small subunit ribosomal RNA", at positions 89 to 922 of the family's 1533-position model. The record is from RNAcentral. Lineage: Bacteria; Bacillati; Bacillota; Bacilli; Caryophanales; Staphylococcaceae.
ACGUUAGCGGCGGACGGGUGAGUAACACGUGGAUAACCUACCUAUAAGACUGGGAUAACUUCGGGAAACCGGAGCUAAUACCGGAUAAGAUUUUGAACCGCAUGGUUCAAUAGUGAAAGACGGCCUUGCUGUCACUUAUAGAUGGAUCCGCGCCGUAUUAGCUAGUUGGUAAGGUAACGGCUUACCAAGGCAACGAUACGUAGCCGACCUGAGAGGGUGAUCGGCCACACUGGAACUGAGACACGGUCCAGACUCCUACGGGAGGCAGCAGUAGGGAAUCUUCCGCAAUGGGCGAAAGCCUGACGGAGCAACGCCGCGUGAGUGAUGAAGGUCUUCGGAUCGUAAAACUCUGUUAUCAGGGAAGAACAAACGUGUAAGUAACUGUGCACGUCUUGACGGUACCUGAUCAGAAAGCCACGGCUAACUACGUGCCAGCAGCCGCGGUAAUACGUAGGUGGCAAGCGUUAUCCGGAAUUAUUGGGCGUAAAGCGCGCGUAGGCGGUUUUUUAAGUCUGAUGUGAAAGCCCACGGCUCAACCGUGGAGGGUCAUUGGAAACUGGAAAACUUGAGUGCAGAAGAGGAAAGUGGAAUUCCAUGUGUAGCGGUGAAAUGCGCAGAGAUAUGGAGGAACACCAGUGGCGAAGGCGACUUUCUGGUCUGUAACUGACGCUGAUGUGCGAAAGCGUGGGGAUCAAACAGGAUUAGAUACCCUGGUAGUCCACGCCGUAAACGAUGAGUGCUAAGUGUUAGGGGGUUUCCGCCCCUUAGUGCUGCAGCUAACGCAUUAAGCACUCCGCCUGGGGAGUACGACCGCAAGGUUGAAACUCAAAGGAAUUGACGGGGGACC